GUAAAAAGUCAACAAACACAAACAAGCUUGUUAAUUUCAAAACAUAAACCGCAAUCUUCGAGUCUAUCAUACAAAUUCAAUGUUAAAUAACAACAUUGCUGGUAAAAAUAAUCAGGAUUCAUCCAGCUUACCACAAGAUGGGUAAAGCAUCAGCAUCGACGCUGAAUACUGGAGAAAUCGUGCUGUCGGCAAUAAAAAAACUUAUGAGGAAUACCGGUUGGACCGCACGGACUAUUAUCAAGUUUAUAAAAAUGGAGUACAGAGUUAGCGACCCUAAACUAAGUCGGAAGGUUUCAAGGGCGUUGAAACGUGGUGUCAAAUUGGGUCUGCUUCAAAUGGAGCGUGGCCGCUACAGACUCAACGAUAUGUCGCGGCUGGCGCGGCCGGUGA
Molecule: long non-coding RNA, 390 nt
Organism: Ostrinia nubilalis (European corn borer)
Lineage: Eukaryota; Metazoa; Arthropoda; Insecta; Lepidoptera; Crambidae
Exons: 3
Source: RefSeq, a predicted model, not a curated record